This 240-nucleotide unclassified non-coding RNA is filed under the name uncultured fungus. RNAcentral's name for it is "sequence contains ITS1". The record is from RNAcentral. Lineage: Eukaryota; Fungi.
GUUUUUGGUUGUACAUUAUGCACAAUGAACAUUCCAUUACAUUCAUGAGUGUGUAAAAGUACUCGAGUCACCAGGCCUUGGAAAGGCCAUGCAAAACAGCAACUCAGAGUCAUAAGAUGCACAAGGGGUAUGGAUUUGCAACUUGUCCCAUCAUGCACAUGUGUCUCCACCAGCAACAGAUGGGAACAAGUCGACUUUGAAGUUUCACUAAUGAUCCUUCCGCAGGUUCACCUACGGAAA